Molecule: ribosomal RNA, 434 nt
Filed under: uncultured Ruminococcus sp.
Lineage: Bacteria; Bacillati; Bacillota; Clostridia; Eubacteriales; Oscillospiraceae
Description: bacterial SSU rRNA
Rfam family: Bacterial small subunit ribosomal RNA
Source: RNAcentral
ACGGAAGGCAGCAGUGGGGAAUAUUGCACAAUGGGGGAAACCCUGAUGCAGCGACGCCGCGUGAAGGAUGACGUAUUUCGGUAUGUAAACUUCUAUCAGCAAGGAAGAUGAUGACGGUACUUGACUAAGAAGCCCCGGCUAACUACGUGCCAGCAGCCGCGGUAAUACGUAGGGAGCGAGCGUUAUCCGGAAUUACUGGGUGUAAAGGGAGUGUAGGCGGGACUGUAAGUCAGAUGUGAAAUAUACCGGCUCAACUGGUAGACUGCAUUUGAAACUGCGGUUCUUGAGUGAAGUAGAGGUAAGCGGAAUUCCUAGUGUAGCGGUGAAAUGCGUAGAUAUUAGGAGGAACAUCAGUGGCGAAGGCGGCUUACUGGGCUUUAACUGACGCUGAGGCUCGAAAGCGUGGGGAGCAAACAGGAUUAGAUACCCUGGUA